This 269-nucleotide long non-coding RNA is filed under the name Lathyrus oleraceus (garden pea). RNAcentral's name for it is "Pisum sativum (pea) long non-coding RNA (PSAT_LNC015769)". Lineage: Eukaryota; Viridiplantae; Streptophyta; Magnoliopsida; Fabales; Fabaceae. The record is from RNAcentral.
GAAACAAUCAAUCGAUAUUAGAUAUAAUAAACUAAACACGACGGAACAAGAUAAGAGCUGCAAAAAGAUUCACAAAAAACAUAAUAUCAAUAUCAAUAUCAAUCUCAAACUCAAACACAAUAACAACAACUAAACUAAAACAUAUAAAUUUUAUAAAUUCAACUAAAAAACAACAACUUACAUUAAACAAUAAAAAAAAAAUCCACAACAUCAACAACAACAUCAAUAAACAACCUCUAGGAAUUAAGGUCUCAACAACAAGAACAACA